CGGGAAGAGCUCAAAUUUGAAAUCUGGUAGCCUUCGGCUGCCCGAGUUGUAAUCUAGAGAAGUGUUUUCCGUGCCGGCCCAUGUACAAGUCCCUUGGAACAGGGCGUCAUAGAGGGUGAGAAUCCCGUCCUUGACAUGGACCCCCGGUGCUUUGUGAUACACUUUCAACGAGUCGAGUUGUUUGGGAAUGCAGCUCAAAAUGGGUGGUGAAUUCCAUCUAAAGCUAAAUAUUGGCGAGAGACCGAUAGCGAACAAGUACCGUGAGGGAAAGAUGAAAAGCACUUUGGAAAGAGAGUUAAACAGUACGUGAAAUUGUUGAAAGGGAAACGAUUGAAGUCAGUCAUGCUCUUUGGAUUCAGCCGUUCUGCGGUGUAUUUCCAUUGAGUGGGGUCAACAUCAGUUUUGAUCGCUGGAUAAAGGCACUAGGAAGGUAGCACUCUCGGGUGAACUUAUAGCCUAGCGUCAUAUACAGUGAUUGGGACUGAGGAACGCAGCAUGCCUUUAUGGCCGGGAUUCGUCCACGUACAUGCUUAGGAUGUUGACAUAAUGGCUUUAAACGACCCGUCUUGAAACACGGA
RNAcentral lists this ribosomal RNA (578 nucleotides) under Naganishia uzbekistanensis. Its description in RNAcentral is "eukaryotic LSU rRNA". It matches the Rfam family "Eukaryotic large subunit ribosomal RNA", at positions 99 to 665 of the family's 3401-position model. Lineage: Eukaryota; Fungi; Basidiomycota; Tremellomycetes; Filobasidiales; Filobasidiaceae. The record is from RNAcentral.